GGAGAGAUGGCCGAGUGGUCGAAGGCGGGCGACUCGAAAUCGUCUAGGCGGUGAUGAGCCGUCUCGUGGGUUCAAAUCCCACUCUCUCCGCCA
This 93-nucleotide transfer RNA is filed under the name Synergistaceae bacterium. Its description in RNAcentral is "tRNA-Ser". It matches the Rfam family "tRNA". Rfam says of the family: Transfer RNA (tRNA) molecules are approximately 80 nucleotides in length. The record is from RNAcentral. Lineage: Bacteria; Thermotogati; Synergistota; Synergistia; Synergistales; Synergistaceae.